UAGGGAAUCUUCCGCAAUGGACGCAAGUCUGACGGAGCAACGCCGCGUGAGUGAAGAAGGAUUUCGGUUCGUAAAACUCUGUUGUAGAGAAGAACAGCGCAUAGAGUAACUGUUAUGCGUGUGACGGUAUCUAACCAGAAAGCCACGGCUAACUACGUGCCAGCAGCCGCGGUAAUACGUAGGUGGCAAGCGUUGUCCGGAUUUAUUGGGCGUAAAGCGAGCGCAGGCGGUCAAUUAAGUCUGAUGUGAAAGCCCCCGGCUCAACCGGGGAGGGUCAUUGGAAACUGGUUGACUUGAGUGCAGAAGAGGAGAGUGGAAUUCCAUGUGUAGCGGUGAAAUGCGUAGAUAUAUGGAGGAACACCAGUGGCGAAGGCGACUCUCUGGUCUGUAACUGACGCGGAGGUUCGAAAGCGUGGGUAGCAAACAGG
Molecule: ribosomal RNA, 428 nt
Filed under: Bacteroidota bacterium
Lineage: Bacteria; Pseudomonadati; Bacteroidota
Description: Bacteroidetes bacterium partial 16S ribosomal RNA
Rfam family: Bacterial small subunit ribosomal RNA
Source: RNAcentral